This 1127-nucleotide long non-coding RNA is filed under the name Homo sapiens (human). RNAcentral describes it as "HSALNT0332877". Lineage: Eukaryota; Metazoa; Chordata; Mammalia; Primates; Hominidae. The record is from RNAcentral.
CCCCAGGAACCGCGAGGUUGCGAGCAGGAGCGGAGAGAGGGUGAGUGCUGGCAGCGGGGAAGGGGGUGGCGGCCGCAGAGGCCGAGGAGGCUCCGGUCCGGCCGCCUCUGCGGACCCCCGCCUCUGUGUGUGUCACGGUCUCUAUGGAGAUCUCCCGCAGAGGACAGCACGAACAGUUCCCCGCGGUGCUGAGGCCUAACUCGACCGCCGACUGGUGGGAGUUCUUCCGUCGCCCUAGCCGUAGCUGCCGCAGUUGAAGCCGCUGGCGACGCCCGCCUACCCCUCCCCUGUGCGCACAGCGCCCGCCCCGCCGCCGUCGUCGUCGUCGUCCCUGCAGCCUCCGCCGCCGUUGCGCCUAUUACCCCUGCUAAGGCGGCUGCCGCGGUCGCGAGCCAGAAUGUCGUCACUCAUCGGCGCCCGACGCAUUUGCAUCAUCAUGCUGCGACGAGCUGAUAGGCAAAGAGGAAGGGCUGGUCGAGUCCACGCUCUCGGCCGCGCGGCACGCUGGGAAACGUAGUUCAACAACGGAACGCGGCUUCUCGGAAAGGAAGAGGGACGGGGAAGGAGAUCUCCGGGGCGCCGCAGAGGCACAAAGCCAAGGGACACACGGGGCUGGAAUUCUGGUUCUGCCACCCAACCUAUUUGACCUUGGAUGAAUCAAAACCGUCUGAGCCUUAGCUUCCUCCUCCAUAAAAUGGGAGCUUUAAAAUCCACCUUAUAAAGCUGUUGUGAGGAGCAGACGUGAUCAUCUAUGGAGAGCAUGUAUAUUUGCUAAUAGACGAAAAAUGCGAUGAAUGAUUACAAUUAUAACCCAUGCAGUCAGCUAACAUUAGGGCGCCUAAAGAAACUAUGCUAUACCAAGCAUAGGUGUACACAUCAAUGGCUUUCAGUGGCACCUCUGACCAUAACCAUCAAGAUCAAGACAAGUUGCCAAAUAUGAUAAACAAAAUUAAUCUAUUUUCCGCUGUCUCAUCCUAGCUUCAUGCCUCCUCCCACCACUAACUUCCCACUAAAUUCUCCAGGCACUCCUUGCCAUUUCCUGUUGCUACCAUACUUUAUUAUUUUAAAGUGUAUUCCUGGUCAGGCAUGUGGCUCACACCCAUAAUCUCAGCACUUUGGGAAGCCAA